Molecule: long non-coding RNA, 243 nt
Organism: Telopea speciosissima
Lineage: Eukaryota; Viridiplantae; Streptophyta; Magnoliopsida; Proteales; Proteaceae
Exons: 3
Source: RefSeq, a predicted model, not a curated record
GGAAAAGGGAAGAGAAUAAUAUCUCCAUAAAGGAACAACAAUAACAAUAACAACCUUGUCCAUUAACCAGAAUGCAGUAGUUUUGUCACCGACUAAAGCUUGAUCAUGACUUUCAGCAUAAGCAACACAUUUUUCCGACCAUCUUUUGUUGGUAAGUGUGUGAACAAUGUCACCCAUACUCCAAUCCUCGUCCCUUUUCCUGCAUUAGUACCAAGAUGACCAAGAACGAAUGCAUUAGACAGG